This 20-nucleotide non-coding RNA is filed under the name Arabidopsis thaliana (thale cress). Lineage: Eukaryota; Viridiplantae; Streptophyta; Magnoliopsida; Brassicales; Brassicaceae. The record is from RNAcentral.
UAUUGAAGAUGUCCAUCAAG